GACGAACGCUGGCGGCGUGCUUAACACAUGCAAGUCGAACGGAAAGGCCCUGCUUUUGUGGGGUGCUCGAGUGGCGAACGGGUGAGUAACACGUGAGUAACCUGCCCUUGACUUUGGGAUAACUUCAGGAAACUGGGGCUAAUACCGGAUAGGAGCUCCUGCUGCAUGGUGGGGGUUGGAAAGUUUCGGCGGUUGGGAAUGGACUCGCGGCUUAUCAGCUUGUUGGUGGGGUAGUGGCUUACCAAGGCUUUGACGGGUAGCCGGCCUGAGAGGGUGACCGGCCACAUUGGGACUGAGAUACGGCCCAGACUCCAACGGGAGGCAGCAGUGGGGAAUAUUGCACAAUGGGCGGAAGCCUGAUGCAACAACGCCGCGUGCGGGAAGACGGCCUUCGGGUUGUAAACCGCUUUCGCCUGUGACGAAGCGUGAGUGACGGUAAUGGGUAAAGAAGCACCGGCUAACUACGUG
This 468-nucleotide ribosomal RNA is filed under the name uncultured bacterium. RNAcentral describes it as "partial 16S ribosomal RNA". It matches the Rfam family "Bacterial small subunit ribosomal RNA", at positions 28 to 507 of the family's 1533-position model. The record is from RNAcentral.